UACGGAGGGUGCAAGCGUUAUCCGGAUUCACUGGGUUUAAAGGGUGCGUAGGAGGGCAGGUAAGUCAGUGGUGAAAUCUCCGAGCUUAACUUGGAAACUGCCGUUGAUACUAUCUGUCUUGAAUAUUGUGGAGGUGAGCGGAAUAUGUCAUGUAGCGGUGAAAUGCUUAGAUAUGACAUAGAACACCAAUUGCGAAGGCAGCUGGCUACACGAAUAUUGACACUCAGGCACGAAAGCGUGGGGAUCAAACAGG
This 253-nucleotide ribosomal RNA is filed under the name uncultured bacterium. Its description in RNAcentral is "partial 16S ribosomal RNA". It matches the Rfam family "Bacterial small subunit ribosomal RNA", at positions 524 to 776 of the family's 1533-position model. The record is from RNAcentral.